RNAcentral lists this ribosomal RNA (421 nucleotides) under uncultured bacterium. Its description in RNAcentral is "partial 16S ribosomal RNA". It matches the Rfam family "Bacterial small subunit ribosomal RNA", at positions 360 to 773 of the family's 1533-position model. The record is from RNAcentral.
AAUAUUGGACAAUGGGGGCAACCCUGAUCCAGCCAUGCCGCGUGUGUGAAGAAGGUCUUCGGAUUGUAAAGAACUUUAAGUUGGGAGGAAGGGCUUUAGGUUAAUACCCUGAAGUUUUGACGUUACCAACAGAAUAAGCAACGGCUAACUCUGUGCCAGCAGCAGCGGUAAUACAGAGGGUGCAAGCUCUAAUCGGAAUUACUGGGCGUAAAGCGCGCGUAGGUGGUUCAGUAAGAUGGGUGUGAAAUCCCCGGGCUUAACCUGGGAACUGCUUUCAUAACUGCUGAGCUAGAGUACGGUAGAGGGUAGUGUAAUUUCCUGUGUAGCGGUGAAAUGCGUAGAUAUAGGAGGGAACACUAGUGGCGAAGGCGACUACCUGGACUGAUACUGACACUGAGGUGCGGAAGCGUGGGGAGCAAAC